GACGAACGCUGGCGGCGUGCCUAAUACAUGCAAGUCGAACGCACAGUUUAUACCGUAGCUUGCUACACCAUAGACUGUGAGUUGCGAACGGGUGAGUAACGCGUAGGUAACCUGCCUGGUAGCGGGGGAUAACUAUUGGAAACGAUAGCUAAUACCGCAUAAUAUUAAUUAUUGCAUGAUAAUUGAUUGAAAGAUGCAACUGCAUCACUACCAGAUGGACCUGCGUUGUAUUAGCUAGUAGGUGAGGUAACGGCUCACCUAGGCGACGAUACAUAGCCGACCUGAGAGGGUGAUCGGCCACACUGGGACUGAGACACGGCCCAGACUCCUACGGGAGGCAGCAGUAGGGAAUCUUCGGCAAUGGACGAAAGUCUGACCGAGCAACGCCGCGUGAGUGAAGAAGGUUUUCGGAUCGUAAAGCUCUGUUGUAAGAGAAGAACGGGUGUGAGAGUGGAAAGUUCACACUGUGACGGUAUCUGACCAGAAAGGGACGGCUAACUACGUG
Molecule: ribosomal RNA, 505 nt
Filed under: uncultured bacterium
Lineage: Bacteria
Description: partial 16S ribosomal RNA
Rfam family: Bacterial small subunit ribosomal RNA
Source: RNAcentral